Non-coding RNA from Alcanivorax sp. Nap_24, 364 nucleotides. NCBI's taxonomy places the organism in Bacteria, Pseudomonadati, Pseudomonadota, Gammaproteobacteria, Oceanospirillales, Alcanivoracaceae. The record is from Rfam.
CGGGUCGGUCAGGCAGCCGCUGGCGGUGCAAGCCGCUGGAGGAAAGUCCGGGCUCCAUAGGGCAGGGUGCCAGGUAACGCCUGGGGGCCGCGCUGGUGACGGCGCGGUUACGGAAAGUGCCGCAGAAAAGGUACCGCCCGGCGGCUUUCGAGCCACCGGGUAAGGGUGAAAAGGUGCGGUAAGAGCGCACCGCGCCGCUGGCAACAGCGGUGGCAGGGUAAACCCCACCCGGAGCAAGACCAAAUAGGGACCCAUGGGCGUGGCCCGCGCCGGGUCCGGGUAGGUCGCUUGAGGCCCGUGGCGACGCGGGUCCCAGAUGAAUGGCUGUCCACGACAGAACCCGGCUUAUCGACCGAUCCACCUA